This 994-nucleotide long non-coding RNA is filed under the name Mus musculus (house mouse). Its description in RNAcentral is "long non-coding RNA chr2:157367608-157368602". Lineage: Eukaryota; Metazoa; Chordata; Mammalia; Rodentia; Muridae. The record is from RNAcentral.
ACUUCCGGUGCGGCGGCGCGGCGUUCCGGGAGGUAAGUAUUGAGGCUCGGAUAACCCGGCCGAGGCUUCCCGGCGGGCGGGAUCGGGGCGGCGUUGCGGGUUACAGCGGCUUCCGGGGUUGCGGAGGGCAGUUAUCUGUAAAGGCAGUCUGCGUUCCGAGGAGACUGGGGCCCUCGCGAGGGUUGUGCAGGGCCAGGGCCCAGCCUGCCCUGCGCCGGGACCAGCCGGGGCUUGGCUUGUCGGGUGUGCCCUGGAUGGCUGUGUUACCUCGGGCAUCUCGAUCUUCCUCUCCCGGUCACUUUCCUUCCCCGCAGAAGGCUCCCUUGGGCCUGUGCGGAGGAUGCGAAGGCCGGGAGCGUAUCAGUGCUUAGUUGCAGUGUGUGCUUGAGAGAAAACUGCCAGAGAAAGGGAUGGGGAAUGCGAUAGCCUCCCCGGUGUCUGCGGUUCCAGUGACCUGACACCUGGAAAUAGAAAGUGGAAGACUCCAGAAACAAACCGCGCAUGGCUUUGAAUUUGUGUGUUUUGAGUAGCUCAGUAGUGGAGACUCACCCAGCGUGCUUGAGUCCCAUGUUCAGACCCCAGAACUGUUCUUCCCGGCCCUAAGAUAGUAGCACGAUGAAGUUUUACCUCUUCCUGCUUUACACGUAGGUCAUCGUCUUGCUUGGCGUAUCCCUCUGUAUACGCUACCCCCUCAUUAGUCACGUAGGACAGCUGCCUGUGUAACCCUCAUAUCAGCACAAGAGUAGUAAUGAUAGCCUUUGGGGUUUGCUGAAAAAGGUGCUAUUUUAAACAGCCUUUUUUUUUUUUUUAAAGGAAGAUUCUUAGGCUAAAGUUGCUAAGCUAUUUGGUGAGAACAAAAUUUUUGUUGUUUUUCCAAGACAGGGUUUCUCUGUGCAGCCCUGGCCAUCCUGGAGGAGCUCUGUGGGUUGGAGGCUAGCCUGGUCUACAGAAUAAGUUCCAAGUCAACCAAAGCUACACAGAGAAACCCUGUCUC